GGGGGGAAAAAAUGGCAAGGUGCUUAUGUAACCCUGCCGGGGGAAGGGAAGGCCGCUGGCAGGUUGCCUUGCUUGUCCUGAGUCAGAUCCCGCUUGGAGGCUUCUCCACUACCUGGAAGCCCUUGGCUCAGGUGGCCCAGGGGGAGACGCUGCAAUCUGCAGGCCUUGGACACCGGGGUCCCCCAUAGUGUCUUGUUCUGGCCUCCGUUCACGUGGCAAUGGAAGUGACCGAGGAGAGGUGUUUCCGGUGCUGGACGCUGAAGCUCAGCUAACGGUUCCUCUUCCGUAGGAGGCAGAAGAGGCGGAAGCUGGAACAGAAAGAACAUUUGUCAUCUAGGACACCUUGCUGCCCAAAUGUGACGGGCAUACCUUUUCCGAGAAAGGAAGAUUUCUGGGGCCUAUUUGUGCAAAGCAGAUGUCUAAAGUCCCGACCCCUGUGACUGGCCCACGACGUGACCUUCAAGCAAGAGCACCUGAGAAGAAACAGGGUCUCUGUGACGGUCCUCUGAGCCCCUUCGUCUCUCCUGUUUAUUAUCUCCACCCGAAGACGGCUGGACACGCGAGGCUUUCUUCGUGGGAAAAAUGGGGUGAAAAUGUUUGCUUUUGGCCUUUCCUGCACAACCAAGGUGUUCCUGUGAAACCAGGUUCACCUGGUUAGUGCGCAUGGGGCUGCUCCAGGACUGGCUGGGAACUGCAGAAUCGGUCGGAGGAGAACUGAGGGGAGAGAUUUUGAGUGACGUCCUUGGCAGAAGGUAAGAAGGGUUCAACGAUACACUUGCAGGGCUCCUGUCUAAUCUUGAUGUGAACGCGUCUGUCAAAGGCACCAUUAUAUCUCUUUAGCUUAAACUGAGUGGCGUUUAGCGAUUAAAGUAAUGGCACACGAAUCAGAACUCAUGUUUUCUGUUUCUGCCUUUUCCGGCUUCUAAGUAGAUUCUCUUGCCAUAUUCACUCUAAAGCCCGAUUUCCAUUUAUAAAGCAAUUAUUUUUAUCCUAGGGGAUGCAGUAAAACCUUGUUAAUGUUUUUAAUAGCCUGUGAACUCUUCAGAUGAAAAAGCCUGCCCUGUUUCCCUCCUAUACUUAGGAACCAAGAACCCGAAAGCCCUCUUAAGCAACCUUUUGUCUUUACCCUUAAAGACCAUAUGUGGUUACACAAACCAGACGAUCAGUUAUCGAAUUAAGAAACAAACAAAAAAAUAAAUGAUGCCCAAACUACA
Molecule: long non-coding RNA, 1214 nt
Filed under: Oryctolagus cuniculus (rabbit)
Lineage: Eukaryota; Metazoa; Chordata; Mammalia; Lagomorpha; Leporidae
Description: lncRNA (ENSOCUG00000034296.1)
Source: RNAcentral